UCGCGGGGGUGCUGUACGUCGGGCUCGCGCUCACGUCGCGCGGGACCCGGGUGGUCGAGUUCAACGCCCGGUUCGGCGACCC
RNAcentral lists this transfer RNA (82 nucleotides) under Actinomycetota bacterium. RNAcentral's name for it is "tRNA-Val". The record is from RNAcentral. Lineage: Bacteria; Bacillati; Actinomycetota.